AGUGAACGCUGGCGGUAGGCCUAACACAUGCAAGUCGAACGGCAGCACAGUAAGAGCUUGCUCUUACGGGUGGCGAGUGGCGGACGGGUGAGGAAUACAUCGGAAUCUACUUUUUCUUGGGGGAUAACGUAGGGAAACUUACGCUAAUACCGCAUACGACCUACGGGUGAAAGCAGGGGAUCUUCGGACCUUGCGCGAUAGAAUGAGCCGAUGUCGGAUUAGCUAGUUGGCGGGGUAAAGGCCCACCAAGGCGACGAUCCGUAGCUGGUCUGAGAGGAUGAUCAGCCACACUGGAACUGAGACACGGUCCAGACUCCUACGGGAGGCAGCAGUGGGGAAUAUUGCACAAUGGGCGCAAGCCUGAUCCAGCCAUACCGCGUGGGUGAAGAAGGCCUUCGGGUUGUAAAGCCCUUUUGUUGGGAAAGAAAAGCAGCAGGUUAAUCCCCCGAUGUUCUGACGGUACCCAAAGAAUAAGCACCGGCUAACUUCGUG
Molecule: ribosomal RNA, 492 nt
Filed under: uncultured bacterium
Lineage: Bacteria
Description: partial 16S ribosomal RNA
Rfam family: Bacterial small subunit ribosomal RNA
Source: RNAcentral